This is a transfer RNA of Yarrowia lipolytica, 82 nucleotides long. It matches the Rfam family "tRNA". From Rfam's summary of the family: Transfer RNA (tRNA) molecules are approximately 80 nucleotides in length. The record is from Rfam. NCBI's taxonomy places the organism in Eukaryota, Fungi, Ascomycota, Dipodascomycetes, Dipodascales.
GCCUGGCUAGCUCAAUCGGUAGAGCGUGAGACUCUUAUUCAAAGCAAUCUCAAGGCUGUGGGUUCAAGCCCCACGUCGGGCU